UGAAAAUAAAUUGACAAUGAAAAUAUCCUAUUUAAAAGCUCCCACCUUAAGGUACCCUAGGUACUACCUUAGCUAAACAUGAACUCAACCUCUCCCAAGCCUUGGGUCUUCCUUUGUGACCCUUAGAGCAUCCCAUUAUGUGGUUCUCUUGAGUGCUCAGGUGGUCCACCAAUGGUUUUUUGGGACUGUACCUUAGGUACACCUUAAUGACCUUUAAGUAUUACCUUAAGAGACCCUAGGUACUACCUUAACUAAACUUGAACUCAACCUCUCCCAAGCCUCGGGCUUUCCUUUGUGAGCCUUAGAGCAUCUCAUUAUGUGGUUCUCUUGAGUGCUCAAGUGGUCCACCAAAGGUUUUUUGCAAUUGUACCUUAGGUACUACCUUAAGAGCCCUUAGGUACUACCUUAAUGGCCUUUAGGUACUACCUUAAGGGACCCUAGGUACUACCUUAGCUAAACAUGAACUCAACCUCUCCCAAGCCUCGGGUCUUCCUUUGUGACCCUUAGAGCAUCCCAUUAUGCGGUUCUCUUGAGUGCUCAAGAGGUUCAUCAAAGGUUUUUUGGGACUGUACCUUAAGUACUACCUUAAGGGCCCUUAGGUACUACCUUAAUGACCUUUAGGUACUAGCUUAAGGGACCCUAGGUACUACCUUAAGGUAAACAUGAACUCAACCUCUCCCAAGCCUCGGGCCUUCUUUUGUGACCCUUAAAGCAUCCCAUUAUGUGGUUCUCUUGAGUGCUCAAGUGGUCUACCAAUGGUUUUUUGGGACUGUACCUUAGGUACUACCUUAAGGGCCCUUAGGUACUACCUUAAUGGCCCUUAGGUACUACCUUAAGGGACCCUAGUUAUUACCUUAGCUAAACAUGAACUCAACCUCUCCCA
This 883-nucleotide long non-coding RNA is filed under the name Vitis vinifera (wine grape). RNAcentral's name for it is "long non-coding RNA (VVIN_LNC008002)". Lineage: Eukaryota; Viridiplantae; Streptophyta; Magnoliopsida; Vitales; Vitaceae. The record is from RNAcentral.